UAGUAAGAAGACUAAAGUGCGAAACAUGUUCAAUUAACGCCAAGAAAAUGCUUCCGUUUACGCCUCCUUCAACCAUACCCGAAUUUUUUACUCAAAAUUUAUGUACGUACUUUUGGCUGUAUUACAAGAAUCCAUAGCUAACCUCUGUAAAAGGAUAUCACCUUAUACACAAAGGCUAGGUUAUCCUGCUACCACUAUAAAGAAAAUGAAAGUUCCCAUAAUGAAGUCUGUAUUUUGAAUGUAUAUUGUCACUUUAUUUCGCCUACAACCUUCACGCGAACUCAGCAAAAAAGGGAAAACCCUAUUUUACAGCGGCUUCAAAUCAGGUCCUUAUUAGUGCGACCAAUUGGCCUUUCUUCCUUAAAAUGGCGAUUGCCGUUUAAGGAAUAUCACUAGAAGCCGUUAGCAGCUAUUAUUUAAAUUGGUAGUUUCAACAAGUAAAUCGAAGAAGGCAUAUCUCUUUAUACUUUGAGUGGCAACUCAAGAAAUUGUUAAAAUUAGCUGUUAAAAAUUUGCCAUAAAUAUAGAGAGUGAAUGUCGUUUUGUUUACUAACAGUAGUACUCAUGUACUCUAAUCUAAAUAGCUGUUUAUUUCCAAAAAAAAUAGUUUUAUAGCUUAUUAUUCGUAAUAAUUAGUAUUCAACCUUAGAUUUGUAAUAUGCGCUCCGUUGCAAAUGCAAAAAGAUACUAUUAGAGAAGAGCCGAUUUUUUAAAUUCUCGAUGCCGCUGGAUCAUUUCCACUGUCUGUCUCAUUAUUUAUUCUGUUUUUUUAUAUGAUUCGAUUUUAUUUGUCUUUUUCAUUUAUAGCAUUGGUCGAUUGAAAUCAAAAUUUGCAUUUUUUGUAUUCCAUUCGGGUUGCCGCCAAUGUGUGCCCCUAGUGUGUGCCCCUAGUGUGUCAGGUAAAUAACAGCAGUCGAGACAGCGCAAUAACCAUUGCUUUACAGAAAUGAGUAGUAAAUCUGUAAUAAUCUUUGAACUCUUGAUUGAAACAUUUUUAAUUUAUUGCCUCUAUUUUUUAAUGCAAUCCCGUUCCAUCUUUCCUCUAGCAAUUUCUCGAUCUAUCCAAAAGAUAUAGGGAGAUUGAAGGUGUCCUAAUGUGCGAUUACGUAUCCCUCAUCGGUAAACGGCGCACGACUCCGUUUACCGACAGUCGUUAAGUACCUUGAUUCAGCGAGUGCUACGGUAACAACGGGUUAAAGGUAUCAUCUUGUUAUCUGAGUCGGAUGGCCCAAGGUAUCACAAUAUAUGAAGGAAAAAGAGUACUUUAUUCGCGUUUCCCAUUUUCUACUCUAUCUUCCAUUCCAAUAUAUAAAUUGGACUUUUGCUCGUGUGCAAGUUUUUCGCGCUUUUUA
This 1352-nucleotide unclassified non-coding RNA is filed under the name Schizosaccharomyces pombe (fission yeast). RNAcentral's name for it is "intergenic RNA (predicted), possible alternative UTR". The record is from RNAcentral. Lineage: Eukaryota; Fungi; Ascomycota; Schizosaccharomycetes; Schizosaccharomycetales; Schizosaccharomycetaceae.